GUCUACAGCCAUGCUACCCUGAACAAGCCUGAUUCCUGAUCUAGGAAGCUAAGCAGAGUCAGGCCUGGUUAGUAUUUGGAUGGGAGACCACCUAGGAAGACCAGGUGCUGUAGGCG
RNAcentral lists this ribosomal RNA (116 nucleotides) under Pteropus alecto (black flying fox). Lineage: Eukaryota; Metazoa; Chordata; Mammalia; Chiroptera; Pteropodidae. The record is from RNAcentral.